CAAUAGCGUAUAUUAAAGUUGUUGCAGUUAAAAAGCUCGUAGUUGGAUUUCUGGUAGGAGCGACCGUGCCGAACUUGAUUGUUCGAGUAUUGUGUUGUCUUCAGCCAUCCUCGUGGAGAACUUUUCUAACAUUAACUUGUUGGGAUUGGGACCCGCGUCGUUUACUGUGAAAAAAUUAGAGUGUUUAAAGCAGGCAUUAGCUUGAAUACGUUAGCAUGGAAUAAUAAGAUAGGACUUUGGUACUAUUUUGUUGGUUUGCAUACCAAAUUAAUGAUCAACAGGAACAGUUUGAGGAUAUUCGUAUGAACAUGUCAGAGGUGAAAUUCUUGGAUUUUGAUCAGACGAACUACUGCGAAAGCAUUUAUCAAGGAUGUUUUCAUUAA
This 383-nucleotide ribosomal RNA is filed under the name uncultured eukaryote. RNAcentral describes it as "partial 18S ribosomal RNA". It matches the Rfam family "Eukaryotic small subunit ribosomal RNA", at positions 592 to 976 of the family's 1831-position model. The record is from RNAcentral.